This 165-nucleotide ribosomal RNA is filed under the name uncultured bacterium. RNAcentral describes it as "partial 16S rRNA". It matches the Rfam family "Bacterial small subunit ribosomal RNA", at positions 355 to 512 of the family's 1533-position model. The record is from RNAcentral.
UAGGGAAUCUUCCACAAUGGACGCAAGUCUGAUGGAGCAACGCCGCGUGAGUGAAGAAGGGUUUCGGCUCGUAAAGCUCUGUUGUUAAAGAAGAACGUGGGUAAGAGUAACUGUUUACCCAGUGACGGUAUUUAACCAGAAAGCCGCGGCUAACUACGUGCCAGG